AUCUACGCGUCAAAGAAAUUGGUGUUUACUUAGAAUAAAAGUUUCCGGAAUUGUAUAUUCCAAACUGAACGUACAGGAAAAACAAUUUUUUAAACAUUUUCUGGCAUCGGUUGUCACGGAAAUUUUAUAAAAAAUCUACAAAUAUUCAGUUUCUAUAAAUACAGUUACUGAGACUUAGAAGAAAUACCGGUUGAGUUUUUUCCCGAAGAUUCAACGGUUUCCAGUUAAGAAACAAUUAUUUAUUGAGGAAAUUCGCGUACCAUUGAUGCACGCCAUACAUUCUUUCGGAACUUCGUAAAACAUUUCGCUAGGAGACCUGAGCCAUGUCGGACAAAAAUCCUGGUUGUGCCAACGAUAAUAGUUCUUACUGGUAGUAACAAUUACCAUAAUUGCAUACGGAAUUAUCUGAUGACGAUAUUUAAUUACCACGCUACUUUUUAUCAUGCUUGUUUAAUGAUAUGGCUAACAAAACAGUUACAGUUGUUUCGUCGAUUUCAAUGAAAAUUCUCGGAGGAUCUUGAUCGAUGUAGUACGCAGGAUUAACCUAUUUCUCGAUGUAUAAUACACGCUCUAAAAGUGCAUACCUUCGUAGAGCGUGAAAGUAUGUAGAAUGUUCCACUUUUUCCCUAUUUGUAACCGUUUCGAUGAAGAAUCGCUAUGCAUUCAGCAGAGAUACCGGGAAACAGAAACAGGUGUUAAAAGUUGAGGAACAACCGUUGUACGAUGUGUCACAUGCGAAGUCACCGUUUGACCACGAUUGCACCGAUAUUCCAUGCAAUUACAGCAUCCCACGAUCAAUUGCAUUACUCCUUAUUCUUUCCAGGACAAGAGAAAAUAUUCGUACACAAACCGUUUUAUUGCCGUUCACUUUUCAAAUUUCAACUGCGUUUAUGCGCAGUUUAGGAAAACGAUUAAGAAAACCCAAUAAACUCUUGCAUGUACUUGACGCAUGAGUUUUGAGAAAUAAACACUGUUCCCGAUCGAGAAGUUACACAAUCGUUACCGCGUCGAUAUGCAACGAGAAUAUUCACUUUUGAAGAAAUUUAUAUUUCACAGACGAUUAUGAAUUCUAUUUAACGCGUCACUGGAAGUUACACUUUUCAGGUAUCGUUACCUUAUAGCCACUGUUGAAAUAUUUAUGCAACGAUGUUUGAGGUGUAUAUCGCUUUUUAAUAACAGAGGAACAAUUGACAGAUUAACUAUUUAAUAACUUUUGUAGUUUGAUACACGUGUUAUUUGGUGCUGUGUAACACGCAAAUGUCUAAAACGUAGGAACGAACGGACCGGCAGUUGUUUCUUCCCUUGAGAGCAACAGCGGACUAAAUGUUCCACGCGCGUUAAAAAGGUGUUAUAUCUUGUAGAUAAAGACGUUUAACAAUUACUUAGAACUUCGAACUAUCAAAGUUUAUCGCUUGGAUUAGCAUCAGGCUCUGGAAAAUACGAAUUUGUCUCACAUUGAAUAAUAUUUUUUUAACUAUUUUUAAAAUGUGUUAACUGUACCAACAGUUGUCAAGAGAGUGAAAUAAGGAAUAUAGAAAUUUAUUUUGUCGAGAGCACCUGGUUUGAAUCUUAUUCAUCGACUGAAGAAAGAACAAGGUAUUGAAAACGGCAUACACGUCUGAAAUUACUGUUCAUCAUCAAGUGCGGGUUUUCUGUUACUGUUCAAUUAACACGGCUGUUCAUUACAUAAUUCCUGGACCUUUAAUGAACGCGCGGCUACCAAGAUAAUCACACGUUAAUCCUUAUUCGUUCCGAAGCAUAUUGCUUGACUACAUUCUUGGAAUAAAAUCACGUACGCUUAAAUUCUCACCGGCUGGCUUGUACCUGAUCAAUAUCGGAUAGCAAAAACAGGUAAUUUUGGGAAUGAUGCACAACGAGGGAAUCAUGAAAAAUGACUACUGUCGAAAACAGAAAUUUGAGAACCCCUAACCUAAGGAAUCUUUUUCUGAAAUGCGCUAAAAUGUUAAUAAACGAGAAUUAAAGAAUAAAGAACAUGAAACGAUACUUGUGAAAGGAUCGGGUCGAAAGAGGAUGCUUACGCGUACCGUAAUCUAUGCUUGCUCAGCGAGCGCUGAAACGAAGAACACAUAAACCGUCACGUAAAAAUAGAUUGACCCUGUCGUCGAUAAAACCCUGCAAAGCGCGAAACCCUUCAACGAAGGUAAUUCGAUAUACACGCGAGGAGAGGUGAAUGGCGUAAAGCAUUCUCACGGGGUACUCAUAUAGUACUUACAAUGGAUUCUCUUUUGAAUUCCAUAUCCUGGACUUGAAUAGUUUCUUCCUUUUUUCUUCUUUACGACUGAUUUCAUUUUAUUAUGCCUUCACAAACGGACUAAUGGAAUAAAAGCAAAUUGCAUAAAUAACAAAAGAAUUUUU
This 2376-nucleotide long non-coding RNA is filed under the name Megachile rotundata (alfalfa leafcutting bee). Its description in RNAcentral is "uncharacterized LOC105662500, transcript variant X1". Lineage: Eukaryota; Metazoa; Arthropoda; Insecta; Hymenoptera; Megachilidae. The record is from RNAcentral.